Molecule: unclassified non-coding RNA, 281 nt
Filed under: uncultured fungus
Lineage: Eukaryota; Fungi
Description: partial contains 5.8S ribosomal RNA, internal transcribed spacer 2, and large subunit ribosomal RNA
Rfam family: 5.8S ribosomal RNA (bases 1-52)
Source: RNAcentral
AACGCACAUUGCGCCCGCCAGUAUUCUGGCGGGCAUGCCUGUUCGAGCGUCAUUUCAACCCCUCAGGCCCUGGUGCCUGGCGUCGGGGCCGUCUCCCGCGAAGGAGAGCCCUCAGAAACAGUGGCGGACCCGCCGCGGCUCCGAGCGCAGUAGUCAAUAUUUCUCGCUCUGGAGGUCCGUGGCGCGGCACUCUAGCCGUAAAACCGGGCCAGGGAAACCUGCAACAGCCCAAACCCCACAAGGUUGACCUCGGAUCAGGUAGGAAUACCCGCUGAACUUAA